Molecule: non-coding RNA, 1053 nt
Filed under: Pongo abelii (Sumatran orangutan)
Lineage: Eukaryota; Metazoa; Chordata; Mammalia; Primates; Hominidae
Source: RNAcentral
GCAAGGCGUGGGGCGCUAUGGGGCUGCGCAGUGCCUUAACGAUUCCCGUUUCACGGAUGAGACGACUCCGGCACAGAGAAGUCAGAGGGCCUGUCCUGGGUCACACAGCCACAGGCGGCCCCAGAACGGGACUUCAGGGUACACCACUGCACCCCAGCAGAGGCCUCUGCCUGGCACACAGGGAAUGCUGGAGCAAUACUUGAAUAAGGGAGGUCAGAAAUCUCACGGGCUCUGCUGGCUUCUGUGCUUCGUCUCUCAAGGCCAAAAUCAAGAUGUCAUCAGUGCUGAGCUCUGGUGGAGGAUCCACAUCCAGGCUCACUGGAGCUGCUGGCAGAAUUCAGCUGUGUGGGGUUGUAGGCAUGAAGUCCUUGUUUCCUUGCUGGCUGUUGUCCAGGGGUUGCCCUCAGCUUCUGGAGGCCGCCUGCCCUCCCUGGCUCAUGGCCCAUCUCAUCCUGACAGCCAGCACCCGCGGAAAGAGUCCCUCUUGCGCUGUGACUCUCUCCCACCUCUUCCAUUCUCUAUGGCUUGUCUGCCUCCCUCUUUCAUCUUUAAGAGUGCAUGUGAAUAUAUUGGACCCACCUGAGUCAGCCAGGAUACCCUCCCCAUUUUAAGGUCUGCAGCCUUAAUUCUACCUGCAAAGUCCCUUUUGCCAUGUAAUGUGCCAUAUUCACGGGUGUCAGGGAUCAGAGGGCGGGUAUAUUGGGGGACCAUUAUUCUGCCAACUACACAGGGCCUUAUAUGGUCUUGCUCUGUGUCCCCACUCAAGUCUCAUCUUGAAUUGUAAUCCGAAUUCUAACCCACAUGUGUUGGGGGGAGGGACCUUGUGGGAGGUAAUUAAAUCAUGGGGGCGGUUACCCUCAUGCUGUUCUUGUGAUAAGUGAGUGAGUUCUCACAAGAUCUGAAGGUUUUGCAAGGAGCUUUUCCCCCUUUUGCUCAGGACUCUCCUUCCUGCAGCCAAGUGAAGGACAAGUUUGCUUCCCCUUCCACAAUGAUUGUAAGUUUCUUGAGGCCUCCCCAGAACUGUGAGUCAAUUAAACCUCUUUUCUUUAUAAA